Molecule: ribosomal RNA, 241 nt
Filed under: uncultured Staphylococcus sp.
Lineage: Bacteria; Bacillati; Bacillota; Bacilli; Caryophanales; Staphylococcaceae
Description: partial 16S ribosomal RNA
Rfam family: Bacterial small subunit ribosomal RNA
Source: RNAcentral
CGGACGGGUGAGUAACACGUGGAUAACCUACCUAUAAGACUGGGAUAACUUCGGGAAACCGGAGCUAAUACCGGAUAAUAUAUUGAACCGCAUGGUUCAAUAGUGAAAGACGGUUUUGCUGUCACUUAUAGAUGGAUCCGCGCCGCAUUAGCUAGUUGGUAAGGUAACAGCUUACCAAGGCAACGAUGCGUAGCCGACCUGAGAGGGUGAUCGGCCACACUGGAACUGAGACACGGUCCAG